Molecule: long non-coding RNA, 2759 nt
Organism: Sorghum bicolor (sorghum)
Lineage: Eukaryota; Viridiplantae; Streptophyta; Magnoliopsida; Poales; Poaceae
Exons: 5
Source: RefSeq, a predicted model, not a curated record
UCUCUCCUCUCGUUCUCUCCCCUCUCGCUCAGAUCCACCCGUGCGAGCCCGCCUCCCAGCUCCAUCGUCGUGUGUGACCGGUGCCGGUGACCUUGCCUGCGCCGCCGCUGCGCCGACCACCGCUGGAUUUAACCUCGCGUGGGUGGUGGCUGCAUCUGUGGCGAGCACGUUGCGAAGUGGGAGGUGCUCCGAGCUUGGGAUUCGUCUGACUCGGCGGGGCUGGGAUGGCCACCCCGUGCGGCAGAUGGCAGCGGCUGGCCUGGCCGGCACGGCGGCGGUGCAGCCCUCCCCGUGGCUCGACCAAGCGCGGCGGGUGCUGCCUGCCUUGCGCGGCACACGGCCUGCCGGACGACGAUAGCUUGAUGGAGUGCAUCCUCCAUUCCCAACGGUGGCCUAAGCGCCCGUUCUCCCGACCGCGGCCACGGCGCCUUUCCUUUCCCCGACCCAUAGCGGCGCGUGCCCUCCCCUUCUCCAACCUGCGGCGGCGCUGCCCUGACCCGCAGCGGCGGCGCUGCCCUGACCCGCGGCGGCGGCGGCGCCCUGUCCCCCACCGGUGGCAGCGCCGGCGUCCUCUAAUGCCUGCCUCCACAUAUUGACCUCGAGAGCGGCUGCUCCGGCGACCACUCAGUGCACCGGGUGUUCAUGGACUCCAGCGGCAAGCACUUGUGAGGUGCCCGUGACCCAAGCCGCUCCCCUGCCUCCAGGGCCUCCUCGUUAAUGCCAUUGCCUGGAACCGCAAUCCAUCACGGAAGCAUCGACCAAGGCGGUGAUCCUAGGCACUUAGAGCGGCCAGAUCUUCUAGAUGGCCGUGGAUGAGGCUGAUAAGAGGGAGAAGUAUGUGAAGCCGCUCCUCGAACUCACUAAGCAAAGGGAGGGCAUCAAGGACCUACAGAUGGAGACUGGUGUGGUUGGAAAUUCCACAAGAUACUGUGUGAUGGCUGUCACUCCGAUCCCCACUGCCUUUACUUCUCUGAUCAAGAUGGAUGAUUCUAUGUGCCUCCAUUUUUAUUUUUAUGCGCUCCGGGCCAUGGCACUCAUGAGGCGGUCCAGUGUAUGACACAAUCCACCAGCUACACAUGCGAGGUGAUAAUAUUUUCUUGUUGUUGUUUGAUGAACUGAUAUGUGCUGCUUACUUGUUUCUAGGUAAGUUCCUGCGUUCUUCUCUGUAGAUCCCAAUUUCAAACCAAUUUCCAUUCCUUUUCUAUUCUGACUAUUCCACUCUAGGAGAAUUAAUUAAUCAUUGCUUGAACUGGAGCAGCAAGAAUAAGAGGAAGAAGAGAGACACCUGGAUGCAUAGAAAUUAAAAUCUUAUUUUAGGAUGCAUAAAAAUUAAAAUGUUAAUUUUUUAUGAAUAGAAAUAGACUUCUUUUUCAUGUAAGCUUGAGGCUUUCUUCUAUGCUUAACCUUGAUACAGUAUGAACAAAAUUGGAAAAUUAUUUUUUGGGUGUAUAGAAAUUGAAUUCUACUUGGAUGCAUAGAAACUUUUCGGAUGUAUUUAAAAUGUUCAGAUCUAGUCUUGACUCUAUGAAAUUUGAUUGCUUGUAUUUUUUUAGACUUGGAACACAGGGCUUGGCCCACCUCAUUGGCUCCGACAUGAUGCCUCUGUGAUGACUUCUGUGACUAGUUCUAUAUUUUUUUAUUUUUUACUUGGUUACUAUGGUUUCAUGCCUAAUUGUGUAUGCAUGAUGAAAUUGUGUUUUCAUACCUGAUAAAAAACUAGUAUCAUGUUUCUACGCACUACUCAGUGAUUUAUUGGAAGCAUUCUAGCAUUGCUGGCUGCAGAGGGUGCUCAACAUUUCCACUUCUGUGAUUUAUUUUUUAUAUUUUUUCUAUACAUGUUGUAUGAUUAUCCUCAGUCUUUCUAUGCGUAUACUCAAAACUUUCUCUGAUUUGUUACUACUAUUUUUAUACAUUGUUUGGAGCACAUUUUAUACAUUUUGUUGUUGGUUGGGUGUUAAGAUUUUUGCAUGCUGAUCCAAAGGAAAGAUAAUAGUUCUUAUAUUUGCAUGUAUAGAUUUUGAUGCAUGGUGAAACUGUGAUUAUGCUUAGUUGUAUUUGUUUCCACCCUAAUUGAUUUCAAAUUCUAAAUUUUGAAGAAGUCUUUAUACAUUGUGGAGCAGUCUUCUAUGCACUGUUAGAACAAUUCGACAUAUAUUGUUUGAAUAAUUAUCUCUAUGUACCUACGUAGCCUUGGAUUUUUAGUUCACAUGCAUUGUGGAGCACUUUUCUAUGCAUUGUUAGAAUAAUUAUCUGCGCACAAUUCUUCUAUGCUUAGUUGUAUGGGUUUUAUCUGAUUUUUGGUUGCAGCCUUGGAUGAAUAGGUGGUUUGCAUGAAAUGAAAAGCUAUCAACGCAAAACCAUUCUGGUGGCAAGUCCAUGCAUGAUGCAAUCUAUGGCCGCGGUGCUGGUAGUUCACGGUGGCGGCGCUAAUGCGAAUCAGCGGUGGUGGUCGGUUGGAUGGAAGAUAGCAAAGGAGCAGCGCGACACGACCAAGGAUUUUUGCAUUUUGUUUGUUGAAUUUGGUGUUCUUAUGCUUGUGUGCAUAAGUUUCUAUACACACAAUAGAGCACUUCUAUGCACUUUUGUAUUUUUAAUGCUUGUGAGCAUAAGUUUCUAUACAUUGUUGGAGUAGGUCUAUGUUGUUUUUAUGCAACAAAAAAUUCACUUUUUAUUCAUCAAAUUACUAAAUUCUAUGUAAUGUCGGCACGAAAAAUAUUUAAGUGUAUCUUGAUCAUUGAAUUUAUAAAUCUAGUCGUCUA